RNAcentral lists this ribosomal RNA (425 nucleotides) under uncultured bacterium. RNAcentral describes it as "bacterial SSU rRNA". It matches the Rfam family "Bacterial small subunit ribosomal RNA", at positions 356 to 773 of the family's 1533-position model. The record is from RNAcentral.
AGGGAGUCUCCGGCAAUGGGCGAAAGCCUGACCGAGCAACGCCGCGUGAAUGAUGAAGGCCUUCGGGUUGUAAAAUUCUGUUAUAAGGGAAGAACGACUUUAGUAGGAAAUGGCUAAAGUGUGACGGUACCUUAUGAGAAAGCCACGGCUAACUACGUGCCAGCAGCCGCGGUAAUACGUAGGUGGCAAGCGUUAUCCGGAAUUAUUGGGCGUAAAGAGCGCGCAGGUGGUUGAUUAAGUCUGAUGUGAAAGCCCACGGCUUAACCGUGGAGGGUCAUUGGAAACUGGUCGACUUGAGUGCAGAAGAGGGAAGUGGAAUUCCAUGUGUAGCGGUGAAAUGCGUAGAGAUAUGGAGGAACACCAGUGGCGAAGGCGGCUUCCUGGUCUGUAACUGACACUGAGGCGCGAAAGCGUGGGGAGCAAAC